Molecule: long non-coding RNA, 3370 nt
Filed under: Paramuricea clavata
Lineage: Eukaryota; Metazoa; Cnidaria; Anthozoa; Malacalcyonacea; Plexauridae
Source: RNAcentral
CUUGCUGUUUAGACGGGUAAGUUAGACGGGAAAGUUCAGACGGGAAACUCGUCUGCGCCCGGAUUCAUAUUAGACGAGUUUCCCGUCUGAGACGAGUUUCCCGUCUAAGACGAGUUUCCCGUCUCUAAUAUGAAUUCGGCUAUUGUUUCUUCGUCUAUCAUAACUAAAAUACAACUGUUUAUUUGGAAAAAAUUACGAUUACAUUACUAUACAAACAUAUAUAAUAGAAAUUACUAAUUAAAUUACUAAUUACUAAUUACUAUACGAAGUAAUAUUCAUACAUUUAAAUAAGUAUACAGUAAUAAUAUAAAAAGCUUAUUGUUCCUUUGAGCCAGGCGGUCUUUUGCUCUAAUAGAAUUAUAGAAAAGUUACCUAGAAAAGUUACCUAGAAAAGUUUCAUGUUAUAACAUUUGAUGUUAUAAUAUCAGAUCUUAUAUAUUCGUUAAGUCAUUAUAUUGCCGAGAACAUGCAUUCUUAUUUGAGGGUCUAAAUGGGGGCUGAAAAUCAGUAAACGGUAAAAAAAUUAGUAUUUUAACGGUAAAAUUUUGGUAUUUUAACGGUAAAUCUUUGAAAAGUGUUCUGAAACGAUAAACAGUAUUUUUUCCUCACGCUUCACGGUAAAUUAGUGUUUUCACGACUGACGGUAAUCGAAAUUGAGUGAAUCACGACUCGAUCACGAUAUACCCCCAGCCUCGUACCCAGGCGCUUUGUUGUGGCUACACCGUCGCGCGACACGAACGCGGGACGACGCGCGUGGGAGAAAAUGGACUGACGAAAUUGCACGAAAUUGAUAAAAUUAAUCCACGCAGCCCACGCAAGGCCACGUAAGCCAUAGAACAACACAUAGCGCCUGGGUACGAGGCUGAUAUACCCCACUGAUCAACACCCUCUUAUUUGGCAGCCUAAAGCGGUUCAGGGAUCGCGCAAGCGGGCGGGGGGGGGGGGUUACACUACUGCAAUAUAUGCUAUUAAUCGCAUGCUCAGCUGGCUAUACCGGCUAGCAUUGCUUUCAAGGUUGAAAUAUUUAGACGUUGGCCCGAAAAAUUAUCAGUUUUGGAAAGUGAAACAUAUUUUGGGCUUCCACAGUGUCGCAGUUUUAAGCGUGCCCCCGUGAUUUCAAAGCAGAGUUUUAUCUCCCCCAAACGAGAAUGUGCUGCGCGGUCCCUGCGGUUCUUGCAUUUCGGGUGUUCACAACUGGUAAUUGCUAGAUAGUAUACUUCAAAAUAAGGUUUCCGUUUUAUAUCAAUUUUUAAAAUAAGUUAGGGUUAGGUUAGGGUUAAGGUUGGGGUUAGGGUUAGUGUUAAGCCCAGUUUACACUACGCUCAAUUUUUGGUACGGCACGGAUAAAAUUGGUACCCGUACCCGUUUUUUGGUUCUUGGACUACCUAUAUUUUGAGCCCCGUUUACACUACGCUCGAUUUUUGGUACCGUACCACUUUUUUGGUUCUUGGACUACCUAAAUAGGUAGUCCAAGAACUAAAAAAGUGGUACGGGUACCAAUUUUAUCCGUGCCGUACCAAAAAUUGAGCGUAGUGUAAACGGGGCUUUAGGGUUAGGGCUUAGUUUUGCGUUAGGAUGGUUUUUUCUACGUUAUAAAAACGGAAACCUUAUUUUGAAGUAUACUAUCUAGCAAUUACCGUGUUUUCAAUUGCCUACACUUCAGAAGUUCAGGCGAGUGGUUCUUAAUCCAUUGGUUUAUUUACAAACAGUUAUAUAUUGGACGAGGAUUUUGUGAUAUCCAGAAUUAUCAAGGUAGAGAUCAGUCGAGCAGAAGCGGAAAUUCAGUGAUAUAUCACAACAACCGAAAUUCAAUAACUGUUUUAUUAUACAAUGCAUUUUCCUUAUAUGUCGCAAAAAAUAACAUUUGGUUCUCAAGAACAUUGCAGUGAAAACGAUUUUAAAUACAGUAUCACAAUAACAGUAUAAAAAUGUUAGAAAACUCAUUUACCUACUACGUACUGAGUUCAGUCGAGCCGAAGGCGAGAUUGAUAUACCGAGACUUUGAUAAUUUGGGAUAUCACAACAACCGAAUUCAAUAACUGUUUUAUUAUACAUUGGCCAUUGCAUUUUCAUUAACUCUUUCGACAAACAAUGAUUUGUCACAACAUUCGCUUCUCAAGAGCAGCAGUGAAAACGAAUCUUAAAAUAUUAAAAUAACGGCACAAAAAUAUUGGAAAACUCAUUUACCUACUAAAGUUCCGAUAAAACGCCAAAAAAGUCUUCUUUUUGCAUAAAAACCUUUUCUUGUUUUUUUUUUGUAUUCGUGGCUUUUUCGUGCAUUUAAAACUGCCGCUUGCCAAUAAAAUUAUAUACGGCUGGCUCAACGUACACAUAACUCAAUUAUCUGCUAGUAAAUAACUAUGUUAUGUGUAGGUUGCGUGUUGCCAUAUUUACCUGUAAGCUAUUAAACAAAUCAAAACGCGUGCAAAGAACUACAAUGUAUAAUAUUACUAAAAUCACUAAACUGGCCACAUCCCGCUAAGAAUUUCAAACGGGGAAAGACCAUAGAUAUCUCAUAUACACUAGAUAGCGCAUCCCUCCCUGUAGGCAGGCGAAAAUUGAAGCCUGAUCGCAGUCGCAGUUUACGUGCGGCGGCCAUAUUGGUCGUUCCCACGGAGCGUGAUAAUUUGUAUAUUUUGUAUUGCGGAAAUGGACAAAGUUGACAAUAAACCCUCUUUUAUGCAGUCAAUUUUGGUUUUUCAAGUGUGCAACUUGUUGUAAAUGAUGCCAGAUCGUUGGAGCUUCAUAUUGUGAAUAACGGGUAGGCAGAAUUUAAUUUUUUUUUUCGAAAAUAUCAAUAUUUGUCGACCCGUAUGAAGGGCGCCCAUAGGACAAACCUUAUGGACAAACCAUCAUUGUUGAUGUAUAUAUAAAUAUAGUUCUACCAAUUCCAAAUAAAACAUUUUGAGCCAUCGCCAUUGCGUCAUGGCAAAAUUGUGAAUGUAUUUGCAUAUUCUUUUGUAAAAGACAGCGACACUGAAAAACAUAUUUUAGUCACAGUUUAUCAAUGGCAAAAAUAGACUUAAAAUCUUAAAUAGUCAAUAUAUAGAACAUUGACACCAAAAAUGGUUCUUAAACUUUCUAAAACCUUUAAUUGUAUGAAUGCUUCAAACUAUCUUUAAUAUUUGAUGUUAAGAAAUAUUUCUUUCUGUUGAGUCCUAGACCUUUUGUUUUUAAUUCAAGCAAUCAAACUGCCAAAUUACUGUAAUUAUUAACAGCAUAGGUCAUUGAUAAUCAGCUGAAUUUUAGAACUGCUUUGGGAAACCCUAUUUUGUAAUGAGACACAUUACUUCUUGCAUUAUUGUAUAUUGUAAGGUCAAUGGGAUAAACUGCUUGAUGCACAGUAGAUUUUAUAAUCUUAAAUGUAUAA